UACGUUCCCGGGCCUUGUACACACCGCCCGUCACGUCACGAAAGUCGGUAACACCCGAAGCCGGUGGCCCAACCCGUAAGGGAGGGAGCUGUCGAAGGUGGGACCAGCGAUUGGGACG
Molecule: ribosomal RNA, 118 nt
Filed under: uncultured bacterium
Lineage: Bacteria
Description: partial 16S ribosomal RNA
Rfam family: Bacterial small subunit ribosomal RNA
Source: RNAcentral